This 465-nucleotide ribosomal RNA is filed under the name Vreelandella stevensii. RNAcentral's name for it is "partial 16S ribosomal RNA". It matches the Rfam family "Bacterial small subunit ribosomal RNA", at positions 338 to 795 of the family's 1533-position model. The record is from RNAcentral. Lineage: Bacteria; Pseudomonadati; Pseudomonadota; Gammaproteobacteria; Oceanospirillales; Halomonadaceae.
CCUACGGGGGGCAGCAGUGGGGAAUAUUGGACAAUGGGGGCAACCCUGAUCCAGCCAUGCCGCGUGUGUGAAGAAGGCCCUCGGGUUGUAAAGCACUUUCAGUGAGGAAGAACGCCUGGUGGUUAAUACCCAUCAGGAAAGACAUCACUCACAGAAGAAGCACCGGCUAACUCCGUGCCAGCAGCCGCGGUAAUACGGAGGGUGCGAGCGUUAAUCGGAAUUACUGGGCGUAAAGCGCGCGUAGGUGGCUUGAUAAGCCGGUUGUGAAAGCCCCGGGCUCAACCUGGGAACGGCAUCCGGAACUGUCAAGCUAGAGUGCAGGAGAGGAAGGUAGAAUUCCCGGUGUAGCGGUGAAAUGCGUAGAGAUCGGGAGGAAUACCAGUGGCGAAGGCGGCCUUCUGGACUGACACUGACACUGAGGUGCGAAAGCGUGGGUAGCAAACAGGAUUAGAUACCCUUGUAGUC